GACGACGCUGGCGGCGUGGAUUAGGCAUGCAAGUCGAACGGUAUCAUCCUUCGGGGGUGAGAGAGUGGCGAACUGGUGAGUAACACGUAGGUUAUCUACCCUCAAGACGGGGACAACCCAGGGAAACUUGGGCUAAUACCGGAUGUGAGCAACUUUUAGUUGUUUGAAGGUGGCGUAAGCUGUCGCUUGGGGAUGAGCCUGCGUCCUAUUAGUUAGUUGGUGAGGUAACGGCUCACCUAGGCAAUGAUAGGUAGGCGGCCUUAACGGGUGGUCGCCCACACUGGGAUUGAGAUACGGCCCAGACUCCUACGGGAGGCAGCAGUCGAGAAUAGUCUACAAUGGUCGGAAGACUGAUAGUGCGACGCCGCGUGAACGAUGAAUCCCUUCGGGGUGUAAAGUUCUUUUAUAUGUGAGCAGUGCUUCUUAUAUUAACAGUAUGGGGAGAGAGAUAUUAGCAUAUGAAUAAGCAACGGCUAACUCCGUG
This 484-nucleotide ribosomal RNA is filed under the name uncultured bacterium. RNAcentral describes it as "bacterial SSU rRNA". It matches the Rfam family "Bacterial small subunit ribosomal RNA", at positions 33 to 507 of the family's 1533-position model. The record is from RNAcentral.